RNAcentral lists this transfer RNA (73 nucleotides) under Marmota monax (woodchuck). RNAcentral's name for it is "tRNA.Ala". It matches the Rfam family "tRNA". From Rfam's summary of the family: Transfer RNA (tRNA) molecules are approximately 80 nucleotides in length. Their secondary structure includes four short double-helical elements and three loops (D, anti-codon, and T loops). Further hydrogen bonds mediate the characteristic L-shaped molecular structure. tRNAs have two regions of fundamental functional importance: the anti-codon, which is responsible for specific mRNA codon recognition, and the 3' end, to which the tRNAs corresponding amino acid is attached (by aminoacyl-tRNA synthetases). tRNAs cope with the degeneracy of the genetic code in two manners: having more than one tRNA (with a specific anti-codon) for a particular amino acid; and 'wobble' base-pairing, i.e. permitting non-standard base-pairing at the 3rd anti-codon position. Lineage: Eukaryota; Metazoa; Chordata; Mammalia; Rodentia; Sciuridae. The record is from RNAcentral.
GUGGGGUUGUGACUCAGUGGUAAAGUGCUUGCCUAGCAUGCAUGAGGCACUGGGUUCCAACCCCAGCACCACA